This 3078-nucleotide ribosomal RNA is filed under the name Triticum aestivum (bread wheat). RNAcentral describes it as "partial small subunit ribosomal RNA". Lineage: Eukaryota; Viridiplantae; Streptophyta; Magnoliopsida; Poales; Poaceae. The record is from RNAcentral.
GCGCGCGUCGUGGGCAUUGUUUCUGGCGCACAGCUCAUUGGGCAACUGCGUGAACAGCGAACCCUAGCCCCAAUCCAGAGCCCGCACGCCCCCUUGCUCCUCGCUCCUCCUCCCUUCCUCCCCCCUCUGUCCGCCGCCACACUCCCUCCUUCCCAACCCUCGUCGCCACGGGCUCCACGCUAGGAGCCUUGCUGCCUAUUGCUCCACCUCCACCACCUCGCCUCUUUUUCCUCCUCGUCGUCCCAUCGCUCGCGCGCAGGUCGCCGCCGUGGGGAACAGGAAAGUGGCGGGAUGGGGUGGCCAUGAGUGCUUCCCAUCCCGACGGCGCCUCCUCCUCACAGCAUUGUCACAGGCGCACUUUCUUCUCCUCCCUCCUCCCUCCCUCUUCACCACAUCCACCAUUCCCCUCCCUCAUCCAUGAUGGACGCCCCCACAUGAAUCUCCCAGGCAGGGGAAGAAGGCCAUGGCGAGUUAGAGGCUACAGGGGUGGGUGGAGCGGCUGAUGUGGAUGGGGUCAGUGCUUGAGGGAGGGUUACCGACUGGAGCAACAGAAGCAACAAGCUCGACGAGGUUCAGAUUGGAUACAAAUGGUUCACCAAAGACAGAGUAUGAGCAAGAGUGAGUGGCUCGGCUGUGCAAUUUUUCUCCCGUCGAGGUAUGCCUCCGUCUCACUGGGACAAGGAUCAACUUGUCUGCCACAUAUUUGCUUUUCUUUGAUGGGCUGUGCAAUUUUUCUCCCGUCGAGGUAUGCCUCCGUCUCACUGGGACAAGGAUCGUCUGCCACAUAUUUGCUUGCUUUGAUGCACAUUAUUGUUCGAUUGGAGUGUGCUGACUAUACAGUCCUGAUUCUGUAAAAAGAGAAUAUGUUGUCCCAUCAGACAUGUUCAGUUUAGAUCCUGAUGAUGAUAAUUGUUAUGUUAUGUUAUGUCGGUUCCAUCAUUUCUUCAAGUGGUUCAGGUGUGAAUCUAAGGCCAUUUGCUGCCUCCUUAAUUUUUGGGUCUACCAUAUGCAGAGAUUCUCUCAUGGUUCUACUUCUAUCUUAUAGAAAGCAAAUAUUUUCUGUUGAUGAGCUUGUAGCUCUUUGCUACUGACCAUAUUUGUUCUCCAGGGCUGUAUGAAGUAAAAACUUUAUUUCUGCUCUAUGACUAUGUGUCGAAGAUGUUUUAUAGGUUGUAAGUUUGAUUUCUUUGUCUUGAACAUGGUUGGUUUAGUUUCUCAGAAUGUUGUUUGUCCAGUCUUUGUUAAUAGUGUGAUCACCACAGAACUAAAAGACAGUAUUUGGUACUGAAUUGUAGUUCGCUUUGUUAAUUUCUGCAACACCAUUUCAUAUUUACAUUUGAAUUGUACUUACUUAGUUUGUAAGGCCUUAUAGUUUCAAUGCUUUAUUUGCUUGUGGAGCUACGGCUCUGUUACAUUUUGAUGAUUAUAUAUUUUUGUAUAUGAAAUUUGUAGAACAAAAGUAAAAAAAUUGAAGGCCCAACUUACUUUGGUAUUAAGGUAAUUAACUCUAGGUUCCAUUGCAAGAGCUCAAGCAUGUUCUUACAUGAUUACUCCAACUUAGGAGUACUACCAAACAUUGGUUCAUUUUUCUGAUAGAUUCAGUUAUGGCAAUACUGAAUCAUUUUUGGUGUGAUUAGGGACAAGGAGCUGCAGUGUCAUGGAUUGGAGCGAAGGGGAGGUCCUGACGGCUGAAGAUGGUGUGGAUAGGAGGAGCUCAAAGCGGCAUUCCCAUGGAGGGAUGGCUGAUGUCAAGGUGCUAAAAUCUUAUGUGUCAAGGGCAUUGUGAUGGCACGAUCCAUGUCUCCUGCGAGUGCUCGACAUCCCGUAGCCCCAAAGAGGAGGGCUCCAAGGUUGGACAACAAGCUUCACUGGAUGAAAGCAUUUCCCUUCUAAAACAGAGUGCUGCUGACAUGAAUGCACAAGUUAGUCUUGAUACUAAGAUGGUCAUGGAAUUGCUUGAUCUAUGCUAGGUCAACAUGUCAGCCAACCACUUAAAAAUAAUCAAUUGCAUUUCUUCCUCUGAACUGUGAAACCUGACGAGUGAUGACACAUCAGCAAUGUUGCAUUCAAUAGCCUAUUUGAAGUUAACAAAAGCUUUAUUAGCUAGCUUAGCAAUAGAAGAUGUCAGUGAACACGAGUGCCCAGUCAAGAGCAAUGAAACGGUAGAUACUUUAGAGUGUAAUUUUAUAUAUGAAUAAAUAAAUGACACUUAAGUCGUUAAGCAAUUGUUGUUGAGGUAUUGUCUCACCCUUUAUCUGCUCUCUUUUAAACUGUGGAAUGCUAUGGGCUGGAGCUACAGGGGAGGAGGGAGGUAAGUUUGGAUGCAAUGAAUAUUGUUCGGAUAAAAAAUUGGGUGCAAACUAAGUACUGACGGUGGGACUUAUUCCAUUUGUUUAUCCUUUUGCCCUUUUAAUCAAGAACAACGUUCAGAGCUUACAUGGUUGCUGAAAUUUAAUUCUGUGAAAUAGAAAUAUUAAUACCAUGCAAUGAUCAGUGUAGAGUAGGAUAGUUAUUGAGUUCUUCCUUAGUUUUCAUUGAGAAAAGAUUGGAACUGAUUUGUUCUAAACUUCUAAUGCAAAGUAAAGAUGGUGUGCAUGAGAGAAGCUCGAAGUGGCAUUCCGAUGGAGGGAUGGCUGAUGGCAAGGUGCUAAAAUCUUAUGUGUCAAGGGCAUUGUGAUGGCGCGAUCCAUGUCUCCUGUGACCGCUCGGCAUCCCGAAGCCCCAAAGAGGAGGGCUUCAAGGCUGGACAACAAGCUUCACUGGAUGAAAGCAUUUCCCUUCUAAAACAGAGUGCUGCUGACAUGAAUGCACAAGAAAUUACUGUGUGCCUUAGAUUGGGAUGCUGAACCAGAUGAAAAAUGUCACUGCAGCUUUGAGUGCAGUCAUAGGUUAAAUGGAAGUAUUGGAUGGAGCAAUUCAGUGGGGCUGCUGCAGGAGGAUACAUAGUAACAAUGAUGGAAAGAACCUUCCCCACUCGCUCCUGAACCUUAUAAUGUGCCUUUGUGUGUAUAUUUAAUCAUUCACGGAAACCUGAUUUCUAUUUUAUGGUCUGAUUAGACAGGACUGAUAAUCGCUGAG